CUGAUAUAAUUGUAUUUUGGUAAUAUGUAUAUAUAUGUUAAUGAAAUUUAUAUGUGGGAAUAGUAGAUGUAUAUAUGUUUUAUAAACAGUAGGGUAACGUGUACAUUUAUUGUGCCUGUAUAUGUAUAUAUAUAUACCCAUCGGAGCUGUAUUGAUGGAUUGGUGAAGGGGCAGGAUAGCACAGUGAUGGGUGAGGUGGGUUUAAUAAUAAUACUAGUGGAUAGGGUUUUAAGGGUUGUUGCUGCUGUGGGGGAGGACCCGCGCGCCGGUAACAGAGGGCCGUGUGCAAUACUAGAGGGGGCCACGAGCCGGUAACAGAGAGCCGUGUGCAAUACUAGAGGGGGCCACGAGCCGGUAACAGCGGGCCGUGUGCAAGAGAAAGGGUCCGCGAGCGGGUAGAUAUGUAUAUAUAAGGCGCUCCCGCCGGCGGACGUUAGACUGCAGAUCCCCCUCUCAGUGCUCGCACCUAGGUCUCCAGCGCUGCUAAGAGCUGUAGCACUGUAAACAUUACAGCAGCGGCAGGAGUAGCUUAGGGUGCGCAGCCAGAGAGGGCAAUUGGAAGGGAUAAAUAGACAAUGCGCCAGGAAGCUGCUGCUGACUGACCUUGUUAUCGCUGAGGUGUCAGGUGGAGAGGCGGAGAUCGCGCCUGGAGCCGCCGCUGUGGUGUUGUGCCGACGGUGAUGUUCGGGUGAGCGGCGGUGCAAGGCUGGAUCCAUCGGAGGUGAUGGCAUGGCGCCAUGGCAACACUGACGCCAACGGCAGAAUUAGCUUACCCUUCCCUCUAGAGGCAGAGCAGAAGCAGAGGCCCAAUAAGCAGUAGAGGGGCGGAGCCUGCCUGACAGUUGCUGAUCAGAGGAGGAGUCGGGGGAGCACUCAGAGCAGUACCGUUGUGCUGUGGAUAUAGAAUAAAAAAGGGAAGGCACUGCACAGACCAUCACUGCUAAGAAAAAUGGGGAAAGAUGGAGAUAUGACAUCCAGAGAAAAGGAUUUAAUAUAUGCCUGUUUCCCACCUAUAUGUGGUGAAAAGGAGACACAGAUGAUAGAGAUCAGAAGUGUUUCAAGCAAUAAAAAUGGGUAUUAACAUCA
This is a long non-coding RNA of Pseudophryne corroboree (corroboree frog), 1086 nucleotides long. RefSeq lists it as uncharacterized. The transcript is spliced from 3 exons. Lineage: Eukaryota; Metazoa; Chordata; Amphibia; Anura; Myobatrachidae. The record is from RefSeq and is a predicted model, not a curated record.